UGGGGAAUAUUGGACAAUGGGGGCAACCCUGAUCCAGCGACGCCGCGUGGGUGAAGAAGGCCUGCGGGUUGUAAAGCCCUUUCGGUGGGGAAGAAAAGUCACUGCCUAACACGCGGUGGCCUUGACGUAACCCAUAGAAGAAGCACCGGCUAACUCUGUGCCAGCAGCCGCGGUAAUACAGAGGGUGCGAGCGUUAAUCGGAAUUACUGGGCGUAAAGCGCACGUAGGCGGUUUAGCAAGUCGGGUGUGAAAUCCCCAGGCUUAACCUGGGAACUGCAUUCGAGACUGCUUUGCUAGAGUAUGGGAGAGGGAAGUGGAAUUUCCGGUGUAGCGGUGAAAUGCGUAGAUAUCGGAAGGAACAUCAGUGGCGAAAGCGACUUCCUGGACCAAUACUGACGCUCAUGUGCGAAAGCGUGGGGAGCAAACAGGAUUAGAUACCCCCGUAGUCC
Molecule: ribosomal RNA, 449 nt
Filed under: uncultured bacterium
Lineage: Bacteria
Description: bacterial SSU rRNA
Rfam family: Bacterial small subunit ribosomal RNA
Source: RNAcentral